Molecule: ribosomal RNA, 91 nt
Filed under: Synechococcus sp. CC9902
Lineage: Bacteria; Bacillati; Cyanobacteriota; Cyanophyceae; Synechococcales; Synechococcaceae
Source: RNAcentral
ACCACUUCGAUCCAUCCCGAACUCGGUUGUGAAACGCAUCAGCGGCGACGAUAUUUGGGGGGUAGCCCCCUGAGAAAAUAGCUCAAUGCCA